This 460-nucleotide ribosomal RNA is filed under the name Streptococcus mutans. Its description in RNAcentral is "bacterial SSU rRNA". It matches the Rfam family "Bacterial small subunit ribosomal RNA", at positions 28 to 470 of the family's 1533-position model. The record is from RNAcentral. Lineage: Bacteria; Bacillati; Bacillota; Bacilli; Lactobacillales; Streptococcaceae.
GACGAACGCUGGCGGCGUGCCUAAUACAUGCAAGUGGGACGCAAGGGAACACACUGUGCUUGCACACCGUGUUUUCUUGAGUCGCGAACGGGUGAGUAACGCGUAGGUAACCUGCCUAUUAGCGGGGGAUAACUAUUGGAAACGAUAGCUAAUACCGCAUAAUAUUAAUUAUUGCAUGAUAAUUGAUUGAAAGAUGCAAGCGCAUCACUAGUAGAUGGACCUGCGUUGUAUUAGCUAGUUGGUAAGGUAAGAGCUUACCAAGGCGACGAUACAUAGCCGACCUGAGAGGGUGAUCGGCCACACUGGGACUGAGACACGGCCCAGACUCCUACGGGAGGCAGCAGUAGGGAAUCUUCGGCAAUGGACGAAAGUCUGACCGAGCAACGCCGCGUGAGUGAAGAAGGUUUUCGGAUCGUAAAGCUCUGUUGUAAGAGAAGAACGAGUGUGAGAGUGGAAAGUU